Molecule: ribosomal RNA, 498 nt
Filed under: uncultured bacterium
Lineage: Bacteria
Description: bacterial SSU rRNA
Rfam family: Bacterial small subunit ribosomal RNA
Source: RNAcentral
GGCUCAGGAUGAACGCUAGCUACAGGCUUAACACAUGCAAGUCGAGGGGCAGCAUGGUCUUAGCUUGCUAAGGCCGAUGGCGACCGGCGCACGGGUGAGUAACACGUAUCCAACCUGCCGUCUACUCUUGGACAGCCUUCUGAAAGGAAGAUUAAUACAAGAUGGCAUCAUGAGUCCGCAUGUUCACAUGAUUAAAGGUAUUCCGGUAGACGAUGGGGGAUGCGUUCCAUUAGAUAGUAGGCGGGGUAACGGCCCACCUAGUCUUCGAUGGAUAGGGGUUCUGAGAGGAAGGUCCCCCACAUUGGAACUGAGACACGGUCCAAACUCCUACGGGAGGCAGCAGUGGGGAAUAUUGGUCAAUGGGCGAGAGCCUGAACCAGCCAAGUAGCGUGAAGGAUGACUGCCCUAUGGGUUGUAAACUUCUUUUAUAAAGGAAUAAAGUCGGGUAUGGAUACCCGUUUGCAUGUACUUUAUGAAUAAGGAUCGGCUAACUCCGUG